This is a ribosomal RNA of 480 nucleotides. It matches the Rfam family "Bacterial large subunit ribosomal RNA", at positions 1796 to 2505 of the family's 2925-position model.
UCGCCUGUUUAUCAAAAACAUCGCCUCUUGACGCAACAUAGGAGGUCCAGCCUGCCCAGUGACAGAGUUCAACGGCUACGGUACCCUGACCGUACGAAGGUAGCAUAAUCACUUGUUCCUUAAAUGGGGACUUGUAUCAACGGCAUCACGAGGGCUGCACUGUCUCCUUUCUUCAAUCAGUGAAACUGAUCCCCCCGUGAAGAAGCGGGGAUGAAAUUAUAAGACGAGAAGACCCCAUGGAGCUUUAAAUAAUACAGCCACACUAUAUCAAAAUAUCCUCUUACUAAAAGUCCUGACUGUAAAUUUUAGGUUGGGGAGACCGCGGAGAACAACUAAACCUCCACGACAGACGGCCUAAGCCCUUAUCCACGAAUAACACUUCUAAGAAUCAGUACUCUGAUGUUAUUGACCCGAUAUUAUUCGACUGACGAACCAAGUUACCCUGGGGAUAACAGCGCAAUCUACUUUGAGAGCCCAUAU